RNAcentral lists this long non-coding RNA (1956 nucleotides) under Homo sapiens (human). RNAcentral's name for it is "HSALNT0005266". Lineage: Eukaryota; Metazoa; Chordata; Mammalia; Primates; Hominidae. The record is from RNAcentral.
AGCCCGGCAUGGUGGCGUGCACCUGUAAUCCCAGCUACUUAGGAGGCUGAGGCAGGAGAAUAGCUUGAACCGGGGAGGUGGAGGUUGCAGUGAACCGAGACUGCACCAUUGCACACCAGCCUGGGCGACAGAGCGAGACUCCAUCUCAAAAAAAAAAAAAAAAGAAGAUUAAAGUGGGAGGAAUCACUGCCUAAUUUCAAGAAUACAGCUAUAGUAAUUAUGACUGUGGGGUAUUGGUGGAUGGAAAGACACAUCAAUCAAUGGAAGACAAUAGAGGACCCAGAAAUACCCCAUGCAAUACAGUGGAGGAAGGAUAGUUUUGUCAACAAAUGGUACUGAAGCAAAUUGAUGUUCAUAGGAAAAAACAAAAAACAACUCCACAGAAAUUGGCUUUCUGUGAUCUGAUACAGCCUGCCUAGAAGCAGAAGUUCUGGCUGCCCAUCACACUGUUUUUAGUAAACCUAGAGUUUUAUUUGAAAUAUUGAGUCUGGCCCAGGCGCGGUGGCUCACGCCUGUAAUCCCAGCACUUUGGGAGGCCGAGGCAGGUGGAUCAUGCGGUCAGGAGAUCGAGACCAUCCUGGCUAACACGGUGAAACACCCUCUCUACUAAAAAUACAAAAAAUUAGCCAAGUGUGGUGGCGGGCGCCUGUAGUCCCAGCUACUUGGGAGGCUGAGGCAGGAGAAUCACUUGAACCCGGGAGGCGGAGGGUGCAGUGAGCCAAGAUCGUACCACUGCACUCCAGCCUGGAUAACAGAGCAAGAUUCUGUUAAAAAAAAAAAAUUAUAAAAGAUGGAAAAGAUGGAGAGCCACCAAGGAAGCAAUAAUUCUGCAUCUAGACUGCCUUCAGACUUGUUCAGACUUGAACUGCAACAUCAACUCUUCCCUGGGUCUUUAGCUUGCUGGCCAGUUCUGCAGAUUCAGAUUUGCCAGCCCCCACAAUAAGACAAUUCCUUUAAUUGCCUUAGUUCUGAUGAAUACAGAGAUCUAGGCUGGGUGCAGCGGCUCAUGCUUGUAAUCCUAGCACUUUGGGAGGCUGAGACAGGCGGAUCACUUGAGGCCAGGAGUCCAAGACCAGCCUGACCAACAUGACAAUACCCCAUCUCUGCUAAAAAUACAAAAAAAUUAGCCAGAUAUGGUGGCAUGCAACUGUAAUCCCAGCUAUUCUUGAGGCUGAGGUACAAGAAUCAUUUGAACCCAGGAGGCAGAGGUUGCAUGAAUGCUGCUGAAAAAAAAAAAAAGUAAAAUAAAAAUGUAAAAGUGACCAUUAAAAAAAAAAGCAACCAACCUAAACCUCAUGCCUUAUACAAAAAUUAACUUAAAAUGGAACAGGUUUAAAUGUAAACUGUAAAGUUAUAAGAUGUUUAGAAGACAAGAUAGAAGAAAAUCAUCAGGACCUAGGAGUCUUUCCCCAGGGCUCAGGGAAAAGUUCUCAGACAUGAUGCCAAAAGCAAGAACCAUAAAAGAAAAAAUAUAUACAUAAUUGGACUUCAUCAAAAUUACAAACUUUUGCUCUGUGAAAGACCCCAUUAAGAGGAUGAAAAGACAAACUACAAAGUGAGAGAAAAUAUUUGCAAACCAUAUAUCUGACAAAGGACUUAUAUUUAGAAUAUAUAUAAAGAACACUCAAGGCCGGGCAUUGUGGCUCACUCCUGUAAUACCAGCACAUUGGGAGGCCAAGGCAGGCAGAUCACUUGAGGCCGGGAGUUUGAGACCAGCCUGGCCAAUAUGGUAAAACCCAAUCUCUGCUAAAAAUACAAAAAUUAGCUGGGCACGGUUGUGCAUGCCUGUAAUCCCAGCUAUUCAAGAGGCUGAGGCACGAGAAUCACCUGAACCCAGGAGGCAGAGGUUGCAGGGAGCCGAGAUUGCACCACUGCACUCCAGCCUGGGCUACAGAGCUAGACUCUGUCUCAAAAAAAAAAAAAAAAAAAAAGGUUGGGCGUGGUGGCUCAGGCCUG